Mercenaria mercenaria is the source of this 5926-nucleotide RNA transcript. RefSeq lists it as uncharacterized. The transcript has 5 exons. NCBI's taxonomy places the organism in Eukaryota, Metazoa, Mollusca, Bivalvia, Venerida, Veneridae. The record is from RefSeq and is a predicted model, not a curated record.
AGGUCCACUUAACGAUCGAUACAUGUGCCCUAAGAUUAAAAGUACUGUGCAGUGUAAGGAAACAUGUGUGUAUAAGGAUUCAUUCAACUUUGAUGAAAAUUGCAUUGAAGAUUUGCCUCUUCCUACGACAUCAUCUAAGAAAGAAACGCAGAAAGUCGGCAGUGUUCUUGAGGAUGAUACGGAUAGUUGCCAAACCGAGGAUGGCAGUACAAAAACCAGUAUUUAGAGCAAGCAGGAAUGUUAUAAGAAGUCUAUUGGAAAACAAUUAGCGUUCUUUAACCAUUUUGUCUGCAUGUAAGUAAACACAUGCAAUGUAAUAUAACAGAAAUAUUACUAAUUAUUCUUAUCAUUCUAUCAUAUAGAAAACAAUUAUUGUAUAAUAUAACAUUUCAGUAUAAUAUAUUUUCAAACAACAUGUAUAACUGAGAAUUUUAAGCGAGGGAUGGGAGCAUUGGUGUGGGCAGGGGUGGGAGAUAUUCUAGAGCCUAAACAUGUGAGUAGGUUCAAUGACAAGGUAUACUACAUCCUUCAUAUGACAUAUAAACAUCCAAAGAAAACAAUGAAACCGUACAGGUAACAGUAACCAUGAUACUUUUUAAUAUUUUGAAAAACUGACCGCUGAUGCAUCAAUUUUCCUACUGGUUUACAUUGGCAAACAACUACUUUAAAAUGAUACUAAAAUAUAUUUCUGUUUAAUUGUAUUGAUCUUAUUUGGCAGAUUUUAUAUUUCUUACCAAAACUAAUAUUACGCGUAUAUUAAAAGUGAAUAUAAUAAUGCCAUUCAAACUAUGGAAAUGAACAUGUAAACAUUUUGUUUUAUUUUUGCACAGCUACGAUAACUCAAAAUAGCACACUCUCUGACGCAAGAAAUGACAAAGCAGUAUGUCAAGACAGUUCUUUACGUCUCAAAGAAAUCAGAAAACAUUUUCAUAUAGAAGGUUCAGAAAGUGGCAUAUUUUCCGGAUCGGGAUUUUGUAUGGAAGAUACCAUCAGUAAUGACGGAGUUUUGGACUACGAAAGAAAAACAUCUGACAUUGACAGAAGUAAAAGGACAAAAGAGUGGAUUGAAUCACAUUCUAAAUCCAAAUCAUUCGGUAUUUCUACACAACCUGGUUCUGCUGCACACAUGUCAACGGAUGAAACUACAGGUGUUUUACAAGAGGAAAAAGGGACAUUUAAAAAGUUUACAACACCAUAUCUGCCACACUGGUAUGCAAGGAAUUAAGAACUCCGUAUUUUCUAAAGAAGAAUGCUGAAAUAGAGAUUCCAUAUCUCAGUAUAUGUGCUAUAAAAACAUUGGUGUGAUACAAAUAAAAAUAUAAUUAUAAGACAUAAAAGAAAAUCAUAUAUCUAAAUACUUUAUGUAAAUAUUUAUUGAUCUAUCUAUCUGCGUUAGUAUAAAUUAGUGUCUUGAUGUACUUAAUGUGUUAGUGGUAUUUUUAGAUAUUUUUAUUACAUUUUUCUUGACUAACUAUUCUUUCAGGACUUUUAUCGUCAGCUGACAGUUGAUUUUGAUAUUUAAAACAUCGUAUCAAUAUGUUUUUUCUUGUGUUUUUUUUUUGCGUCGCAGCUUUGUAUUUUUGAUACAGCCAGAUUAAUACAAAUUCAAAUAUUUUAACAUCUGACAAAUAAUUUCAACCUCAUUUCAGUAAAAAACGGAUGUUCUUUGUAAUAAAAUGCAUGUUUUCUUAACUUCAUAGCUGUGAAAACACGGAAAAGAUAAAAAAAAAAAUCUUUGUCAGACAAUCUAAGUUUUAAUGAUGUCUAGUUGUACAGCAGUUAUUACGAUCUACCUAGACUGUUCCAAUUAUUUUGAUUUGUCAAAAAAGCAUGGUUGCCAGAUUGCUUGGUCACAUUUUCCCUCAAGGUAUAUAUUAGGAACUUUAAAACAUCUUCUUUCCAGAAACUGUUAGCCCGAUUUAAAUAUAAUUUCACACAAAUGUUCCGUCGGUUUCUGUAACGGAUUGUAAGAUUGUUCAGAUUAAAUGAUUUGUCAAAAUGUCAUAAACACCAGAGGGGGUUGUAUCUUUUUAUAGUAUAGAUCUAUAUGUAUAUAGGGGAAAUUAAAAAAAAGUCUUGUGUUUCUUGAUUGUUUCUUUACCAUGAUUGUUCAAAAUAGUAUGCUUAAAAAAAAACCACCAGAGAUAAAAUAAUUUUAAGAUUUUCAAACAGCAUCUUCUAAAACUUGAAGUUCAAUUUUGAUAUCAUUCCAAGAAAUGUUGCUUUGGUGACCAUCUGUCAAGUCUUCAUAUUAUCCGUUUCGGCGAAAGCAUGGUUUCUAGAUGUUAAAGGAGAAAAAUCUUUAAAAGCCACCGCCUUCUAAACCACUCGUUUACAAAGUGCUAAAAGUGAACUGUUGCGAUCACUCACCAGUCAGCCCGCCCGCUUAGCUCGAUAGGGGGAGCGCAGAUGUACGUAUCGUGGGGUCGUGAGUUCGAUCUUCGGGCGGAACGUAUGUUUUCCUUGACGAUUUGAUAAAAAGCAUUGUGUCAGAAAUCAUUCGUCAUCCACCUCUGAUUCAUGAUGGGAAGUUGGCAGUAACUUGCGGAGAACAGGAUUGUACUGAUACAGAAUCCAUGAACCCUGGUUAGGUUAACUGCGCGCCGUUACAUACCUAAAAUACUGUUGAAAAACGGCCAAAACAAACACUCACCAGUCGUCUUACAUCGUAUUUCCCUCCGUUCGUUCAUCCAUUAACACUUUUAUUUCAAAAGACAACUCCUCAGAAACCACGCAGUGGAAGCUGAUGAAACUUGGUAAAGAUGUUUCCUGGAUUGUUUUAUAUCAAAGGUUUUCAAACAAUUCAAUUCCAUGGAGAAUUCUGGUCGCCAUUGAAUUAAAAAGAAUAAAUCUUUCAGAAACCAUUUGUCAAAUUUUGCUAUCUGCUUGAAUGCGUUCUAUGCUCUCAAAUUAUCUCCUUAUUGAUUUGAAUAGUUUAUUUCCCUUAUAUACAGACAGCGAAACUGAAAUUCUGACGUUUAAUAAAAUUGUUCAAAUUGUUUACGUUUCUAACAUGGCUACCAAAGCUGAAAAUGGAACAUCGCCUCCUAAAGAGCUUGUUCUUACUCAGAAAUAUUCUUGGGGUAACCCUUGACUAUUACAAAAUGAAAUGUUUCCAAUUCUUUAAAAAAAAGCACAAAAUGGCCUAAACAAAUGAUAAAAAUUGGUCAUUUGCUGGACGCUUAUCAAAUUUGGUCAAACGUUGUUUUUAUGCACCUUUUUUCUUGCUUAAAUGUUUUUCCUUAAAAAUUGGUAGUUUAUAUCCGUGCUAAUACAACUAAAGUAAUAAAAUGAACACACAUUAAAAUUGCAACACAGACAAUUAUGCAAAUUGGUCGUUCGUAUAUAUCCUUAACUAAAAGUUGACUUAUAAUAUACAUCGAUUUUACGGCAUUAGAAGUACGGCAAACGUGUUUCUGUCACCGAGAAAACAGAAACAGAAAGGGUAGAUUUCCCGGAGGCACAGAACAUCCCAAACACAGCCAUUGAGUUAUGCUUUGCAAAGUGGGCACGCAACAAAAAGAAACUGCAACGAAAAAUAUAGUAGACGGGUUGCUUCAAAAUCCAAUAGCAAGUAGAUUUUAAUUAUAGGCAAAAUACAAGAAAAUCAUCUUUCUUUAAGCUAUGUAGUCGAUUAUAGAUUUGAUUCCAGAAAUAACGCAGAAGUUCUACAGUGAAAAUAUUUCGUGAUUUAUAUCGGACGACGAUAUCCGCAUAAUUCGUGCUGUUGAAAUGGCGGCCAAUAAAUUGCGCCGUACUUUCUUCAAUAUUUUAAACGGUGUCUUCUCCCAGAUAACCUUUUUAAAUAUAUACAUAGCCAAUUUCAUUCCUAAAGCUUUAUAUGGAUGUGAAGUGUUUCACCCAAAACUCCUCUCUCGUUUUCUUGGAACAGUCUGAUAGGCUUUGCCGAAAUCAGCAUGGAAGAUUAUGCUUGAUAAAACAUUUAUAUGCGUAUACAUAAACAUACAUGUAUAUAUUUAUCGUGUGGAUGAAAAUGAAAGACACGCAAGACUAUAGAUCAUCUAAUUCUUAGGACAUUUUACGAUAGGAACAAACCUUGUGACAUUUUGGAAUAUAUGUCGUGACGUACCGGCAAUGGAAACAUACUGUAACUUGUGUUGUUCCAAAAAUGAUUAGCUCUGAUAUUUAAUGCUGUUUUACGUGUUUAAUAGAAAAUCAGCGUAAUCAGAUGUGUGAUUCGUUACUAGGUCUUGUUGCAUAUAGAAGAAGCAAAAUAAAUGUAAAGUGCUGAUGUUAUCUUUAUAGAUUAUUUACGUAAACAGGAUUAAAUUGAAAUGCACCCUGGCCUAUUUUUUCAAUCAUUUUGAUAUAAAAAAUUAAUUAAGUAUCCAUUUGAUGGUGACACAUGUUUCAAAAAUGAAUAUCACAAAGUGCAGAGUUAGCGUUUCCAUUUAUUCUAGAGCCUGCUCUUCUCAUGUUGAAAAGUUAUCAAUUAAUCGUGAUCCUGUACGAAAUAAAAUUGUACGGCAUUAAAAGACCUGUUUUUUGUUCGGAAUUAGUCAUGAUUAUUUCAGAUUUACACCUGUAGCUUUUAUAUAACAACAUUGAUAUUUUUCAACUGUCACAGCUGCAAAACGACUGUAAAACAGUUUGUAUUAUAUAAACUAGCUUGCAGCCAUAAAAAGGAAAAAGUUACAGCUAUGAAUAUGCCUAAAAGUUACAGCUUUAUAAAUGUUGCAGGUGUUAGAAAAAGUAAUUCUCUAGAAAAUAUAGUAAUUAUUACAAAAAUGGAAAAAAAGAUCUAGUAAGAAAAACAGAACAGUAUGACAUAUGCUUACAGUAUAGCAAUUGCAAAAUUCAAGAGCAGGAUAAAGAGAAGAAACUAUGCAUCAGAUCUCGUUUGUUAAACUUUUCCUGUCAUGAAAACAGAUGACAAUCUUUUCGUCAUUUCUUUUAACUUAUCAGCUUCAAAUGUAGUGUAAACAGUUAAUGCAUUGUGCUUAUACGUGUUCUUUUACAAAUAUAUUAGAUAACUAAGAACUCUCUCAAUGGUUAAAAUUCCAAUAUUUAAGAAAGGUGUCCAUGUGAAUUUCAGUCAUAUCUCACCACAAUGCAUUUUUUAAAGAUAGUUGACAAUACUGAUGUUUCCCUUCAAAAAGGUUACAGCUGCGACAUGACCAUUUUACAGGUGAGAGUUUCAAUCGUAAUUUUACAGUGGUAUCUCUGAAACAUGCAUGUUUUACAUCUGUAAGUUUCAAUUAUGUUUCUGGUCAUUUUCAUCAUACUUCAUGUAAAACAGGUCCUAUUUUCGUACAGGACGGUAUGUCUGUGGUUCGAACUGGACAGGAGUAUUUUAUCCACCAGUGGGAUUAUAUCCAUUAGAAAUGUGUGUUUUAAUCAGAGUUGCAGAUGUUUGGUAUUUUCAUUCAUAAGAUUUAGGUCAUUCAGAUUGUAGAACUAUUUUUGUAUUUUUAUACCGCUGAUGUUUUACAAUUACUUGAUAGUUUUAUUUGAAACUUUUAUAUGAAAAUAAGACAUGGCCAGAUUAGAGCCACCAAGUCCUGUAGGAAGGUUAUUUCAUCAUUUUUGACUAAUAUGUCCUAUUUUCACUUACUUAUAAAUGGAUUUUUAUUAUGUAUUACUACAUUGUAGCUAAUUUGAGGCUGGCCAUUCAGCUAAUCUUAUAGUUGUUUUUAAUGUUUUACAUGCUACUUUUAUAUUUUAAGAAGAUGGUCAGAUAGAAGCCAGAUAUGAGAUGGUCUAAUUAUUGAUUUGUCAUUGAGUUUUGUUGUAAACAGAUUACGUAAUCAGGAUAAUGCACAUUCUUAAGUGACUAAAGUGCUCAGAGGUGUAUAAACUGAGCAGGAACUGCCCUCAGAAUUUUAUUCUUCAUCAUAUUUUCUAAACAACAGAAAAUGCUCUAAAAUAACUCAUAAAAUCUGCAAUAAAGUGUCACUAAUUGAAA